Molecule: long non-coding RNA, 808 nt
Organism: Populus euphratica (Euphrates poplar)
Lineage: Eukaryota; Viridiplantae; Streptophyta; Magnoliopsida; Malpighiales; Salicaceae
Exons: 2
Source: RefSeq, a predicted model, not a curated record
ACAGUAAACUCACAAUGUAAACUAUGCUGGGCCAAGUUUAACAAAUCCUCAAUCUAAUUAAAGGCAAAUUCAUGCUUCGGGCUUCUGAUAAACCAGCACCAAUAAGAGGUGGCCUAAUAACAGAUUCGAAGCCCAUAGCCCAUCUUGAUCUUAUAACUGGCCCAUAUACCAUUAUAGGAGGCCCAACAAUGGCAAGCAGAUUACAUGCCGUGCUAGUCGGUAUUCAGUAGCAACCACCUGUUGUCGUUAGCAAUUCUCAAGAACCCAAGAAAUCAUAAAGAGACAAAAAGAAGUCACAGUUCUUAGGGUUUAUUAAAGGGUUUUGAGCUUCACUGAAAGAACUCCACGAUUUCAGUAUAAUACAUUUUCUGCUACAAGAUUCGGUUACAAGAUGGCUGGAUUCAGUAGCCUUGCACCUAAGACCAAGAAUCUGGUAGUUGCUGGAGGCUUGUCAGCAUUUGUUUUUGGGGUUUAUUUCUACACCAUGAGAGCUGUUGGAGGGACAGACGAACUUCAGACUGCUAUUGAUAAGUUUGAACAGCAGAAAAGCAAGGAAGAGUCUGAGGCAACCAUCCCAUCUAAGGCUUGACCAUAUGAUGCUUGGUGUAAUAAUGUGAUCAGAAACAAGAGAGUGGUUAAUUUGUGAAUGUGCUGUUUCUACUUUCGAUUUUGCACUUUUACUGUACUUGAUAGGCAUUAGAGUCUGAGGCAACCAUCCCAUCUAAGGGUUGACCAUAUGAUCCUUGGUGUAAUAAUGUGAUCAGAACCAGGAGAAUGGUUAAUUUGUGAAUGUGUUGUUUCUACUUUU